Molecule: long non-coding RNA, 2578 nt
Filed under: Citrus x clementina
Lineage: Eukaryota; Viridiplantae; Streptophyta; Magnoliopsida; Sapindales; Rutaceae
Description: Citrus clementina (C. clementina) long non-coding RNA (CCLE_LNC001797)
Source: RNAcentral
AGAAACAGUAACAGGCACACUUCCGAACCGGUCAUAUAUAUUUGUGGGAAAAAAAAAAGAAAAAGAAAAAAGCUCUCACCUCACGCAAAGCUAGUUCUUCUCUUGUCUUCUUCGACAAUGGUGAACAGCAGCGCAUGAACAACCCCCUGCCCCGCUCACUCAGUCUCACUCUCUCACCUGACGCAGGCUCAUGGGCAAAAAAAUUCAAAAUCCCUAAUUACUAAUUCCUCUCCUCUUUUGCUUCCACAACAGUCAACGGUGGCACAACUUCCACAACAGUCAGCGGCGGAUGUGAUUUUCAGGUAUUUUGGUUAACUCUAAAUUGAUUUCAUAGCCUUUCAAUUCUUUUUUCCUAAUUUUUUUUUGCGCACGCUGCCACAAUCCUUGCCAUUAAACAAACCCUCAUAGCCACCACCGACCACUGACAUGCAUGAAUGUCCAAUCUCUUAGCCGCAAUUGCUAUUCUUUGUCGACGUCGUGAAGAAAUUGGGUAUGAUGUUAAUCAAUCACACAUACUACCAAAAAAUGCUAAGAACCAAGUUUUUAAAUUUUGUUAAUAUGAUUAUGAAAUUGGGCUUGCUUUUGUUUGAAUUUUUAGGGUUUGUUUGCUUUCGGAUAAAAAUUAAAAAUCAGAUUUUGAAAUUGUUUGUUCCUCAUUUUGUUGAGAUAUACCUUGUCUUCGUUUAUUUAUUUGUGCCUGUCUGAAUAGAUAUGCCAACAUAAUCGAAUGCUUAUUAAAUUCAAUGAAAUGUGAUGCAUGGCCUUAAACUUGUGGUGAAUGGCUUUAUUCAACAUAUAUAUUUUGGAAAUUAGUUUUAUUUUGUUUGAUUGAGAGAUUUUUUUGCUUAGUUUGAUUUAUUUUGCUUUAAAAAAAGAGCCUAGUCAAAAUAAGUUUAUUUAAAAGUGGAUGGCAUUUGAUUAAAAGAAGAGGUAAGAUUUAAAGCCCUGCAAGUGUUUGAUAAAAUAUCUAAAUGAAUCUUCAUGUUCAUAUUUUCUUUUCUCAACUGACUUAGGUUUUUUGUAAUCAAGGUGAAGGUGCUAUAGUGUUAUUAUUAGCACCUACUAGAGACUUAGCCAAUCAAAUUCAGGAAGAGGCUCUUAAAUUUUGGUCGUGCGCAAGUGUUAUAAAUACUUGUGUUUAUGGUGCUGCUCCUAAAGGACCUCAAACAUUCGAAGAGGUCUUAAUUGUUUUUUGUUGUUUUGGAGAAUUUAAUUGUUUUUAGAUUAAAAUUACAAGUCAAGUAUUUUUAUUUGGUGUAUCUUCCUCUUUAACUACAAUAUGAAUUGGAGAAUUUGAUAGAACUUUAAUCAUUUGUCUAUACUUUACUAUUGCUUAAUUGUAUCAUAAGAGUGUGUUAAUUUGCUCUGUUAUUCUUUCAAGAUUCUUGAGCUAUACUCUUUAUAUUUAUAAUUUGUUUUGAUAAAUUUCUCUUGGUUCUUUAAUUUUGAUCUAUUCCCUCUUGAAAGAUAUUUUAUUUUAAACAUGUCAUUAAUUAUAUUGAUUUAAUCUUACAGGGUGAUGAGCUAAAUUAAUUAAUUAUAUUAUAUGUAGAGUUUAGUUUCCUCAAUAAUGGUGUGCUAGGAAUGCAGUUUUAUUUUAAGCAUAAUAUGCAAUUUGUUUUGCGACUGUUUACGCAUAAAAACAGCACCUAAAAGUUUCCAGGUGCUGAUUAGCUGUUGUUAUGUAAUAAACAUAAACACAACACAUGGAAAUUUUGGGGUGUUGUUUUGCUGUUGUUUAUGCACAAAAAUAGCAUGUAGAAGUCUUGAGGCGCUGCUUAGCUGCUGUUAUGUAGUAAAAACAAAACAUGGAAGUUUCUAGGUGCUGCUUAGCUGCUGUUAUGCAGCAAAAACAAUAGCCGGAAGUUUCUAGGUGCUGUUUUGCUGUUGUUUGUACAGAAAAACUGCACUUGGAAAUUUCCAGGUGAUGUUUAGUUGCUGUUAUGCUGCAAAAACAACACCAGGAAAUUUACUGGCACUGUUUUACUAAUGUUUGUGUAGAAAGACUUUAUAAUUUUUAUUUCAAUAUGAUCUCCAUUUUGCUUUUAUUUUUUAAUUUUUAAAAUGGGAAGAUUCCCUUGUAUUUUAUUUGAAUUGCAAUUUUGUCGAGUAUUCGUUCUUGGGAUUAUAUUUUCUUUUACUUGUUUUUAGGGUGCAGCUCUCAGUUUCAAGUACUACCAACAUUGUUUCUCUUCCAUGAAAGAAUCUGUAGUUUUACCCAGCUAUGAACUGAGUUAGCCAUUGGUUAUUAGCAGUUUCUGGACAAGGAGCAAGAAGAUACCAAUGAGGACCUGGAUUUCAGAAGCAAUUCUCUUAUUUUUCUUUUAUUUUGAAUCAUUAGCAUUUUCUUUUUCUUGUUUGGUUUCAGAUAUUGGUGGCAUUGGGUAGUGGGUUUGUUUCUCAAAUCAUGAUGAUCCCAAUGUAAUUGCAAACAGCAGGGUCUGAAAUCUAUACGACCUUGUGAUUUGUCUUAUAUUUUUUUACUGAUGUUUGCUUAAUUUUCUUUUCCUUUUUGUUCUUUUUGAGUGAUCUCCAUAAUUAAUCAAGAUCCAAAAUAUCAAGUUUGUUAAUCUUUUAA